This 226-nucleotide unclassified non-coding RNA is filed under the name plant metagenome. Its description in RNAcentral is "partial contains small subunit ribosomal RNA, internal transcribed spacer 1, and 5.8S ribosomal RNA". The record is from RNAcentral.
UUUCCGUAGGUGAACCUGCGGAAGGAUCAUUAAAGAAUUGCCCCGUCUUCUCGAAGAUGGGUUCUAUUCCAAACCGUGUUUACAUACCUUUGUUGCUUUGGCGGGCCGCCGCUUCGGCGUUGGCUCCGGCCGACUGCGCCCGCCAGAGGACCACAACUCUUUUGUUUAGUAAUGUCUGAGUACUAUAUAACAGUUAAAACUUUCAACAACGGAUCUCUUGGUUCUG